GGCCUGUUAGCUCAGCUGGUUAGAGCGUCGUGCUAAUAACGCGAAGGUCGUGGGUUCGAUCCCCUCACGGGCCA
Molecule: transfer RNA, 74 nt
Filed under: Dryococelus australis
Lineage: Eukaryota; Metazoa; Arthropoda; Insecta; Phasmatodea; Phasmatidae
Description: tRNA-OTHER
Rfam family: tRNA
About the family: Transfer RNA (tRNA) molecules are approximately 80 nucleotides in length.
Source: RNAcentral